This 268-nucleotide ribosomal RNA is filed under the name uncultured bacterium. RNAcentral describes it as "partial 16S ribosomal RNA". It matches the Rfam family "Bacterial small subunit ribosomal RNA", at positions 88 to 354 of the family's 1533-position model. The record is from RNAcentral.
UUAUUUAGCGGCGGACGGGUGAGUAACGUGUGGGUAACCUGCCUUUUACUGUGGAAUAAUCGUUGGAAACGACGACUAAUACCGCAUACGAUUUUCUGAAGGCAUCUUUGGGAAAAGAAAGGAAAUAUUCGGUAAAAGAUGGGCCCGCAUCUGAUUAGCUAGUUGGUGAGAUAAUAGCCCACCAAGGCAACGAUCAGUAGCCGACCUGAGAGGGUGACCGGCCACAUUGGGACUGAGACACGGCCCAAACUCCUACGGGAGGCAGCAG